Long non-coding RNA from Vombatus ursinus (common wombat), 499 nucleotides. RefSeq lists it as uncharacterized. The record is from RefSeq and is a predicted model, not a curated record. The transcript is spliced from 3 exons. NCBI's taxonomy places the organism in Eukaryota, Metazoa, Chordata, Mammalia, Diprotodontia, Vombatidae.
AAGCGCAUUCAUAUACCCUCUCUUCAGGCCACAUAAGAGUAUACUGGAGAACUGGCCGAUCACAGCCCUUAUUAGCAUGUACAGUCUUGCCUACUUGAUGCAGUCCUCGUGUGGACACAGGUAUUGUUUCCAGCCUGCUUACCCUAUGAAGAACAGAAGUUUUUCUAUUGGCUGCUGACCCAAAACUGAGGGUCAAAAGGCAUCGAUGAACCAAGUUCUAGGUGCAGGCAGUGGAAUCCAUACAGGACCCAGACUUGAACUAUGAUAAUAGUGAAGGAAAGAUUCUAUGCCAGAAGUUGCUGCGGAAGAAAUCCUGAGAAGCCAGAGUGAUUGGGACUUGAGCCCAAGGAGGGGAUUUGUACUAGGAACUUAAUGGGACUGGGCCAUAUAAGAAUUGAUCAAAGCUGUGAACCUAAUUAAUUCCUAUCACCUCCCCAGAGAAUGAAGUGUGCAUCCAGGGAUUAUGCUCCUCAGGUGUUAGGGAAGGGUGUUUAUAUGU